UUAGCGCCGAGGAAGAACAGAGAGAAGCAGGCUAAGUUGGAAAAACGAGAUCCAACGCGCCCAGAAGCGGCUUAAGUGUAAAAACACUAUCAUUCGGGGGUUUUUGAAUGCCGCCAUUUUCAGAAGGAGUUGUUUUUUUUUUCUCCUUGGAAACUCCGUUUUUGAGACCCUGGAUUGUAGCUUAGAGGUCAACUCUUCGCUGGAUGCAAAUGUUGAGCCAGUCCCAGAGAUGAUGCACCCUAUACGAUGAGAUCGGACCGCGGUGUGGCCAGCUGCUUCGGAUCCCAUUCAACAGGACUGACACAUCAGAUUACAGGACACUGGCAGAUAAGAAAGAUCCACCACACGUCCAUUAUCCUGCCCAGGAAGAACAUGAGGUACACAUGAGAUGCCGUCUGACCCUCCGAGCCCUCGCAACGAACCUGCUAGAGGAAGACUGACUUCUUCAAAAUCUGCAAUGUUCCUCCUUGUUUUAGACCACUGCUCCCGGUCGAGGCAGAUGGCCGCCCACCCUGAGCCAUGGUUCUGCUCGAGGUUUCUGCCUCUUAAAAGGAAGUUUUUCCUUGCCUCUGUCGCCUAGUGCAUUUUAUCAUAGUUAUUUUCUGUUUUACAUUUCCUUUCAGCAGUUUCAGUCCCAAUUUGUUUGUUCUUGCUUAUUAAAAAUACAUUUUGGUAUAUUUUGAAACACCCCCUACCUCAUCAGUAAUGUUCCUGUGUGCCUUUUUGUCUUUAUUCUCCUUCAAAUAAUCUAGGUUUAAAUAAUAUUUCCUGGGGUGGAAUUCCCUAGGUGCUGUAGGUUGGCUUUCAUUCAAUUCCCCCCUUCCUGGUCCACCUUGCCACACAAACAAGGCACAACUUUAGUAGUUAUGAAUGUUACAAAAACAUAGUAGGAAACUUCUGGGGGAUAAUAUUAUAGGUUAAGAACAGUUUAGUCACCAAUAUCUAAUCAGUUAUCAGUCAAGGAAACUCUUCAGCUACAUUCCAAGUUGUAUUAUCUGCCCAUGUCACAUCUCCAUAUUUUACUACUGUGGCUCAGCUAAAAUCAUUAGUAAAUAGUUUACUGUUACAGCAAGCAGAACAACUUAAACAGAUUAAGACCCCCCCCAUUGUUUUGUCAGAUUGUUUUGUCAGAUUGUUUUGUGUUACGUCAUUGUAACCUCCCUGCCCCACACUCUGUACAGAAGACACAAGACUGGUUGGCAUGCAGUGAUUCUUACUCAACGAUGCCCUCUGCUGGAGAAAUCUGUUGCCAAGUCAGUGUUGGAAAAUGGUGCACAUGCUCAUCAAAGGCAUAUAUUGUGACCGCAUGGAUGAAUAUAAUUCCAUUCAGUAUUUAUUUAUAAUAUCAGUAUUUUAAGAAAACAACCUUGGUACACUGUAUGAAUGUGGUUAAUAGCCAUAUUUAUCUACAGUGGCUCGUGCUGGCACCUAAAUGGGUUACAAGCAUGGUCACGAGUAUUUAUUCUUUUAUAAGCCCUAGCAGUAGUGGAAUGUAACUAGGUUUACUUUUUUAGGCACUUUACUCAAGUACGAAUUUGAUGUACUUCAUUUUUCUAUUUAAGGCCACACUAUAGUUGUACUCCACCACAUUUCAGGCUGAAAUACUGUAGUUUUAACACCACUAAAUGUAUAUGACAGCUACAGUUAACUGUUUUUGCAGAUUAAUAUGUUACAUAAGGACAUAACAUCAGUUUAUAAAAUGUGAUGCAUCAUUAUAGAAUAAGUACCCGAUCAAUAAAUUAGUUCAAAUUAGCUUUACCACCAGCAGCUGCAACAUACAGAUGCAUCGGUAAUCCAGUAAUAUGUAUUAUAGGAUGAUAUUUAAUAAACUUUAUAAUAUACUGUAUAAUACUUACACAUAUAUAUUUAUUUAUUAUAAGCCGUUUGUCUGCAUAGGGAACACUUUGUGUACAUUUUGCGACUGUUAUUUUAAUGCUUUUACUUAAAUAAAAUUAA
Molecule: long non-coding RNA, 1956 nt
Organism: Micropterus dolomieu (smallmouth bass)
Lineage: Eukaryota; Metazoa; Chordata; Actinopteri; Centrarchiformes; Centrarchidae
Exons: 4
Source: RefSeq, a predicted model, not a curated record